Molecule: ribosomal RNA, 447 nt
Filed under: uncultured bacterium
Lineage: Bacteria
Description: bacterial SSU rRNA
Rfam family: Bacterial small subunit ribosomal RNA
Source: RNAcentral
UACGGAAGGCAGCAGUGGGGAAUAUUGCACAAUGGGCGAAAGCCUGAUGCAGCUAUGCCGCGUGUAUGAAGAAGGCCUUAGGGUUGUAAAGUACUUUCAUCGGGGAGGAAAAACAAAACUAAUAAUUUUAUUUCUUGACGUUACCCGAAAAAGAAGCACCGGCUAACUCCGUGCCAGCAGCCGCGGUAAUACGGAGGGUGCUAGCGUUAAUCAGAAUUACUGGGCGUAAAGAGCACGUAGGUGGUUUUUUUAAGUCAGAUGUGAAAUCCCUGGGCUUAACCUAGGAACUGCAUUUUGAAACUGAAAUACUAGAGUAUCGUAGAGGGAGGUAGAAUUCUAGGUGUAGCGGUGAAAUGCGUAGAUAUCUGGAGGAAUACCUGUGGCGAAAGCGGCCUCCUAAACGAAUACUGACACUGAGGUGCGAAAGCGUGGGGAGCAAACGAGGGA